RNAcentral lists this long non-coding RNA (286 nucleotides) under Elaeis guineensis (African oil palm). RNAcentral's name for it is "long non-coding RNA (EGUI_LNC039776)". The record is from RNAcentral. Lineage: Eukaryota; Viridiplantae; Streptophyta; Magnoliopsida; Arecales; Arecaceae.
AGGGAGAAGAUGACUUCUUUUGUAAAUUAGAUUUGCUUUUUCUUAAUCUAUCUUUUAUGUACUCUUUUUCAUGCAAGAAUAAAAGAAUUUUUUUUUUCAAUAUAUGCUUGUGCUUUUAUUUAAUGUGAAUGAUUAGAUUAUUAAUCUAAACAAUCUAUCUCCUUUGAAGAUGUACUGUGAUUCGAAGGAUAUGAUGCAUGCUCAAGAAAGAAAUAGGUUAUUUUAGGAUUUGAUCUCUUACCGUUUCUUUAUAAAAUCUCUUGGGAUAAUCUAUGCUCAUAAAAGG